Long non-coding RNA from Melitaea cinxia (Glanville fritillary), 334 nucleotides. RefSeq lists it as uncharacterized. NCBI's taxonomy places the organism in Eukaryota, Metazoa, Arthropoda, Insecta, Lepidoptera, Nymphalidae. The transcript is spliced from 2 exons. The record is from RefSeq and is a predicted model, not a curated record.
GUAGAAGUUGAUGGAAUUGGCUGAUUUACAAGUUCUUGCAAAGGUUUUCUUCCAACACAUGGUAUCUUUGGUUGUGAUAAUCGAUUGAAACCUAAAAAAAUAAAUAAAGGAAUAACUGCAUUAACAAUUUUGCUCAGAUGCUUUAGUUUUGUAAUUAAUUAAAGCAACAGUGGCCACUCAUAUAUAAUUAUGUGGUCAACAUGUUUAUAAUGGGUUCGGAAAUCCAUGAAGAUGCAUGUAUGCCUGAAACUAAUUAUGCAAUUAUUGAUGUAUAUUUCUGUCAGUUUCCUUUAGUAAUAGUUAAUUCAAAUAAAAAUAUUGGAAUUAUAAAAAA